This 597-nucleotide long non-coding RNA is filed under the name Equus caballus (horse). Its description in RNAcentral is "lncRNA (ENSECAG00000055886.1)". Lineage: Eukaryota; Metazoa; Chordata; Mammalia; Perissodactyla; Equidae. The record is from RNAcentral.
ACUUUCUUUCCCUUCUUUAUUCCCCUCUUUUAUAGGCCAACAGAGCAAAUCUUUCUGUGUAGAAAACCCUCCAUGCCUUGUGGACACAAUAUGUUCUUGUUUAUUGCCUAAAAGUAACAAAAAGGCUUUAUGCAGAUUAAAAAGUCCAAGAUCUAGAAAAACUAACAAUUUCGCACCAAAUUCUGCUAUUGUUCAAGGUUCUAGCUAUAGUUAUUCUACUAGGUUUAAAAUGUGCAUUGUAAGUCUUUGCUGUGAUGAUACUUGGGAGUUUUUUCUUAAAGGUUGAGCAAUUUGAGUAGAUAAAAGUGUAUCAAGGUGUUUGGGGACAGAGAAUGAAUAUUAGCAAUGACAAAUUUGAUUGCAAGAAAUUGAACCACGAUUCAACCUAACUUAGUGAAAAACCACUGGAGUAUCUCCUGGACUCCGAGGACAGAGAGGCAGCUGGAUUUCCAGAACAGAACUACGCUCUGCAGUUCUGUUGGAAAAGUUCCAGGCAAGGGACCAAGUGGCCAAGCUUGAUGAUCAAUUCCACAGAGCCAGCACUAGGACAAUAAACCACGCUGGUUCCGACAUCUGGGGAAUUAACGUGUCCCGCCC